RNAcentral lists this transfer RNA (93 nucleotides) under Muenchhusia coccinea. RNAcentral's name for it is "Hibiscus coccineus tRNA-Ser". It matches the Rfam family "tRNA". Rfam says of the family: Transfer RNA (tRNA) molecules are approximately 80 nucleotides in length. Their secondary structure includes four short double-helical elements and three loops (D, anti-codon, and T loops). Lineage: Eukaryota; Viridiplantae; Streptophyta; Magnoliopsida; Malvales; Malvaceae. The record is from RNAcentral. RNAcentral also lists the same sequence under 1 other name.
GGAGAGAUGGCUGAGCGGUUGAUAGCUCCGGUCUUGAAAACCGGUAUAGUUCGAAACAAAGAACUAUCGAGGGUUCGAAUCCCUCUCUCUCCU